CAGCCGCCGCGGUAAUACGUAGGGUGCAAGCGUUGUCCGGAAUUAUUGGGCGUAAAGAGCUCGUAGGCGGUUUGUCGCGUCUGCUGUGAAAACGCGAGGCUCAACCUCGCGCCUGCAGUGGGUACGGGCAGACUAGAGUGUGGUAGGGGAGAUUGGAAUUCCUGGUGUAGCGGUGAAAUGCGUAGAUAUCGGAAGGAACACCUGUGGCGAAAGCGGCUCACUGGACAAUAACUGACGCUGAUGCACGAAAGCUAGGGGAGCAAACAGGAUUAGAUACCCCCGUAGUCCCUGUCUCUUAUAC
Molecule: ribosomal RNA, 301 nt
Filed under: uncultured bacterium
Lineage: Bacteria
Description: partial 16S ribosomal RNA
Rfam family: Bacterial small subunit ribosomal RNA
Source: RNAcentral